This 253-nucleotide ribosomal RNA is filed under the name uncultured bacterium. RNAcentral's name for it is "partial 16S ribosomal RNA". It matches the Rfam family "Bacterial small subunit ribosomal RNA", at positions 524 to 776 of the family's 1533-position model. The record is from RNAcentral.
UACGUAGGGUGCGAGCGUUAAUCGGAUUUACUGGGCGUAAAGUGUGCGCAGGCGGCUCUGCAAGUCGAGUGUGAAAUCCCCGAGCUUAACUUGGGAAUUGCGCUCGAAACUACGGAGCUGGAGUGUGGCAGAGGAAGGUGGAAUUCCACGUGUAGCGGUGAAAUGCGUAGAUAUGUGGAGGAACACCGAUGGCGAAGGCAGCCUUCUGGGCCAACACUGACGCUCAUGCACGAAAGCGUGGGGAGCAAACAGG